GAUGAACGCUGGCGGCGUGCCUAAUACAUGCAAGUCGAGCGAAUGGAUUAAGAGCUUGCUCUUAUGAAGUUAGCGGCGGACGGGUGAGUAACACGUGGGUAACCUGCCCAUAAGACUGGGAUAACUCCGGGAAACCGGGGCUAAUACCGGAUAACAUUUUGAACCGCAUGGUUCGAAAUUGAAAGGCGGCUUCGGCUGUCACUUAUGGAUGGACCCGCGUCGCAUUAGAUAGUUGGUUAGGUAACGGCUCACCAAGGCAACGAUGCGUAGCCGACCUGAGAGGGUGAUCGGCCACACUGGGACUGGGACACGGCCCAGACUCCUACGGGAGGCAGCAGUAGGGAAUCUUCCGCAAUGGACGAAAGUCUGACGGAGCAACGCCGCGUGAGUGAUGAAGGCUUUCGGGUCGUAAAACUCUGUUGUUAGGGAAGAACAAGUGCUAGUUGAAUAAGCUGGCACCUUGACGGUACCUAACCAGAAAGCCACGGCUAACUACGUGCCAGCAGCCGCAGUAA
RNAcentral lists this ribosomal RNA (515 nucleotides) under uncultured bacterium. RNAcentral's name for it is "partial 16S ribosomal RNA". It matches the Rfam family "Bacterial small subunit ribosomal RNA", at positions 28 to 523 of the family's 1533-position model. The record is from RNAcentral.